ACGGGUGAGUAAUGCCUAGGAAUCUGCCUGGUAGUGGGGGAUAACGCUCGGAAACGGACGCUAAUACCGCAUACGUCCUACGGGAGAAAGCAGGGGACCUUCGGGCCUUGCGCUAUCAGAUGAGCCUAGGUCGGAUUAGCUAGUUGGUGAGGUAAUGGCUCACCAAGGCGACGAUCCGUAACUGGUCUGAGAGGAUGAUCAGUCACACUGGAACUGAGACACGGUCCAGACUCCUACGGGAGGCAGCAGUGGGGAAUAUUGGACAAUGGGCGAAAGCCUGAUCCAGCCAUGCCGCGUGUGUGAAGAAGGUCUUCGGAUUGUAAAGCACUUUAAGUUGGGAGGAAGGGCAGUUACCUAAUACGUAUCUGUUUUGACGUUACCGACAGAAUAAGCACCGGCUAACUCUGUGCCAGCAGCCGCGGUAAUACAGAGGGUGCAAGCGUUAAUCGGAAUUACUGGGCGUAAAGCGCGCGUAGGUGGUUUGUUAAGUUGGAUGUGAAAUCCCCGGGCUCAACCUGGGAACUGCAUUCAAAACUGACAAGCUAGAGUAUGGUAGAGGGUGGUGGAAUUUCCUGUGUAGCGGUG
Molecule: ribosomal RNA, 585 nt
Filed under: uncultured bacterium
Lineage: Bacteria
Also listed under: 1 other name
Description: bacterial SSU rRNA
Rfam family: Bacterial small subunit ribosomal RNA
Source: RNAcentral